This 28-nucleotide small RNA is filed under the name Bombyx mori (domestic silkworm). RNAcentral describes it as "piRNA piR-bmo-1961945". The record is from RNAcentral. Lineage: Eukaryota; Metazoa; Arthropoda; Insecta; Lepidoptera; Bombycidae.
UGAAACGGAAGUAAGCACGAUUUGUAUG